UACGUAGGGUGCAAGCGUUGUCCGGAAUUAUUGGGCGUAAAGAGCUCGUAGGCGGUUCGUCGCGUCGGCUGUGAAAACCUGAGGCUCAACCUCAGGCCUGCAGUCGAUACGGGCGGACUUGAGUACUGCAGGGGAGACUGGAAUUCCUGUGUAGCGGUGAAAUGCGCAGAUAUCAGGAGGAACACCGGUGGCGAAGGCGGGUCUCUGGGCAGUAACUGACGCUGAGGAGCGAAAGCGUGGGGAGCGAACAGG
RNAcentral lists this ribosomal RNA (252 nucleotides) under uncultured bacterium. RNAcentral describes it as "partial 16S ribosomal RNA". It matches the Rfam family "Bacterial small subunit ribosomal RNA", at positions 524 to 776 of the family's 1533-position model. The record is from RNAcentral.